AAUUAGGAAUUUAUUCCAAAUAUCAGCCAAUCGAGAGGACGAAUCCACAUGCCGAAGAACCUCAAUUUGGAAACUCAAUUCAAACCCGAGCUCCGAUAUCAAAAAAAUUGAGAUCCAAAACUGAAUACUCGAUCUAAUAUGAAGAACGAUGAACCAACACAGAAAUUGCUACAAAACCCACCAAACCCGCACUCAAAACUAGAGCAAAAUUAAUUCGAACUAGAAAACACUAUCUUCGCUAUUUCCCUCACUCUGACCAACUUUCUCUCUCUCGAGAUCUUCUUUGUUUUUCUCUCUAUUCUCCUUCUUGCAUCUCUCUCUCCAAACACUCUUUUUUCUUUCUGUUUCACCUCUCAAUCAUCAUUUGUGUGUUGUUACUGUUCUUUAAUCAAGUGUAAAAAAUGGAGUAUGUGCCUAGUAGUGUUCUAUGUAUUUAGUGAAGUUGAGUGUUAUGUGUGCCGUGGAGAAGAAAAGGAAAAAUGGAGUUCAUCCAUGGCUACUGUCGUGUGCUUCCAGGAAGAAAUGGAAUUCUGUAUGUUAAAUAAUGGAAAAGGUCCCCUUAUUUUUUCUUUUCUUCCCG
This 580-nucleotide long non-coding RNA is filed under the name Capsicum annuum. RNAcentral's name for it is "long non-coding RNA (CANN_LNC013447)". The record is from RNAcentral. Lineage: Eukaryota; Viridiplantae; Streptophyta; Magnoliopsida; Solanales; Solanaceae.